ACUUAUGACUAUUGAACCUCGUGUGAGUAUGGAACAUAGCGAGUAUGUUUUGUAUUUUGUUUCUAUUUUCUGUUCGAUAUUUGGUUAUGGAACAAUUGUUCUUUGCCUAGUAGUACUUAUUAUGAAAAUGACCAGGGUUUGAUUAAUGUACUAAAUGUCUGAUGGUUUUAUGUUUUGAAUGCCUAAUGGUGCAGUUUUUAUGUGAUAUUUUAAAGGAAGCCUUUAGGUAUUAGCUGAGAUGAAAAAGGAAGGACUGGGCUAGCCCCAAUCUUCAUAUUUUACCUGACCAAAUAGAGAAUUUUGUAAGAUCUUUCAUGGUAUCAUAAACAUUUUUCAACACAAGGUAAUUUAUGUUUCUACAAAUGCAAAUGCCUGAGUGUUUGAAAGAAAUUUUUUUGAUCAUGGAAUGAUUUACUGAAAAUUAUCCUCUGUUGUUUAUUGUUUCAAAGACAAACAUAUUUCUCUCUCUAAACCCUCACCCAACCUACUCUCAUUAGUUUAAUAAUAUUUUCAGAAAUCAAAAUUACUGCAAUAUUCUCAGACUUUUGUUUGGAUAAUACACCCUAAAAGUCUUGUUUAAUCGACUAGGAUGAUACUUAGAAAAUGGAAAUAAAUUCAAGUUGCUUCCAUCAAGAUGCCUCUUUACCUUAUUGCCUUAUUCAUAGGCAAAAAAAAAAAAAA
Molecule: unclassified non-coding RNA, 681 nt
Filed under: Hevea brasiliensis (rubber tree)
Lineage: Eukaryota; Viridiplantae; Streptophyta; Magnoliopsida; Malpighiales; Euphorbiaceae
Source: RNAcentral